AUCGUCUCGAACGCGUUUGUCGGCCUUCACCCUGUGUAUCUAUUGCCGCCUUAUUUCUCUUUGGUGCUUUUUCAGCACCCUCCUCCUUUUUCCCCUCCGCACUCUUUCGUCUCUCCGUGUUGCGAGAGUGCGCAGGUGACAGGUACCGCCCCGCUUCCCUUCUCCUCCAAGACACGCACAAAGAGAGAGAUCCGCACGCGCACACGCACGCGGAGGAAUCGUGAGCGUUCCCUCCCCGUCUUCUUUUGCCUGUCUUUUCGUUUCUUUGAUUGCGCGCGCGCGUGUGUGUGUGUGUGCGUGGACGUUCUUCUCCGCUUCUCUUGUGUCUGCUCGCCCGAGUGCAUCUUAAUGUCGUUUCCUUUUAUUUUCGUUGCUGCUCCCUCCCCCGAGCCUCUCUGUUUUCUCUUUGAUCUCCUUUUCUCGUCGAUUCAGCUGCGCUCCGCGCCCUAGACCCUACGCCAGUUUCGGAUAGCUGCAUAUGCGGCCCCGCUCAUCUUUGCGCACGGGUGUGCAUCGCUCUCACUUUCACGGCUGCCUCCCUCGUUACCGAGGCGGAGAGAUCGCUUACAGCUGGAAAAGGAUAGUGAAAGAAGGUGAAACGGCGACAAAAAGGGACGGACAUCCGCAGCCAUUCGUCUUGUACGAGUGGUGACACGCGCACACGGCCAGGUGCUGCUGAGUCGGUGUUGCCACCUGCCACCUGUCUCUCAGAAAAAAAAAUACGCUACGUCGAACCGGGGGUCUUUUCCCAUUUCACAUCUACGGCCCUGCGGGCGAACGGCAGCGCAGCAACAUUUGAUCUCAGAAAGUGAAGCGAGAAAAGGUGCCUAAGCUCUCCACACCUUUGUCGCCCCAUAGUAGGCACGGUGGUAAAAGAUGCAGGCGCCCGAGUCACCAAUCACGUUCCACCGCAGUCACCCGUCCUCGACCGCGUCGGGCGAGCAUGCCCGGCCGCUGCGGGGCAGAAGCCACAUUGAUGAGAACACCCCGGUGGCCACACUAACGGUCGAGGUGCUCAAGCUGAGCAUCCCGCUCGGCCUGGCCGCGGUGGCUCAAAACUCCAUUAGCGUGGUGUUAGUAGCCAUGGUAGGCAAAAUGGUCGGGGACAGGGAGCUCGGCGCGACGGUGCUGGCGAACAGUCUUCUGAACGCGACCGCCUACUCUUUGUCGGCAGGCCUCUGCGGUGCGCUGGAGACGGUUCUGUCCCAAUCGUACGGCCGCGAUCAAACUAGUAAGCUGUACGGGGUUCAUGUGCAGCGCAUGUCGCUCAUACUGCUAAUCGUUGCUGCUUUUGUCGGGCCCGUGCUGGCGUUUUCGGAUUCGCUGCUCAUCUCCAUCCGGCAAAAUGCCGAGGUGGCGCACUUUACAGGCGAGUUUUGCCGCAUCUCCCUCUUCGGCGUCUACUCGCUCAUGCUGCUGGAGGUGAUGCGGCGCUACUUCGCCUGCCAGCACCUGAACACGCAGCUUUCCGUGAACCUCAUCAUCGGCGCUGGAUCCUUUCCAUUUGUGCUGUGGGCAUGCAUCAAGAUGUUGAGCUUCCCCGGCGCGGCGGUGGCGUGGUCGCUGCUCAUGAGUUGCAUGCCCGCCUCCCUUUUUCUCUACCUUCUUGUGACCGGCAAGUACAAGAAGACAUGGGGUGGGUGGGAACCAACGGCGCUGAUGAACUGGGGUCCGCUGCUGAAGCUUGCUUUUCCGUCCAUGGCGAUGAUGCUGAGCGAGUGGAUGUCGCAGGAGGUCAAUCUCAUCGUAGCCGGCUACGCCCCGAUCAAUGAACUCGACGCCUUUAGCAUACUCCACCAGUUCUCCACUAUCUUGUGGAGCAUGGCCUCUGGUGUCUUCAUCGAGGCGGCGGUGCUCGUCGGCAACGCGCUUGGCGAAAGAAAACCGCUAUUUGCGCGGCGGUGUGCGCUGGUGUGCCUCGGGCUCACAUUCCUGUUUGCACUGGUGAACCUUUCUGUGACGCUGCUGCUGCAGAACUGGAUUCCCACUCUCUUCACCAACAACGUAGCGGUGCACGCGCUGUUCCGCAAGAUGCUCAGGUUUUAUGUGGUUUACCACCUCUUGGACAGCUUUCAGAGCUGCAUGAUGGGCGUGCUGCGCGGGUGUGGCUUGCAGCUGCUGGGGGCCAUGUCCAUUGCGCUGGUCUACUCCGUCGUCGGCGUGCCGCUUGGCAUCAUCGUAUUUUUUACAACCUCGAUGGGCGUCGAGGCUUUGUGGCUGGGGCCGUGCCUUGGCCUCAGCGUCGUAGGCUGUCCACUAUACGGCUAUCUCUUGACGCACUACAUCGACUGGGAGAGCCUGCAGCUCCACGCGGACGAUGGACCAAGCUUCAAUGCUUCGAUGAACGAGCAUUCCAGGGGAGCCUUCACCAGCACCCCGUCACUGUCGGUGACAAGGUCCGACCUUGACAUGGUCAGAAGCGAGGACGAGGAGCUCCGCUCCGAAGGCGGGACGGUGCGCCUCUGCCGCGGUAGUCAUCACGGCACACCGGGGCUCGGUUCGCUGUCGGAGACAGGUCGCCACACUCCCAACUCCGCCGGUCCCCUCAGCUUCGCACACGACAACGCUUCCUUCACCUCAUUCAACGCCUGCCUUUCCCAACGCAGGGUCCGCUCCGUGCCGUCACUCAACGCGAUAGUUCCGAACCGGUCUGAUGCCCGGCAGCUGCCGCUACUCACCGAAAGCCUAUCCGAGGUGUACGGCGCGGCAGCUGCGCCUGAGUCACACCCCAACGUUUCUCCGUCCGACUGUAGGGCAGCGCCCUUGCCUAACCAUGCGGGGCGGAGCAGCAGAUCGGCGCUCCGGAGCACCACUGGUAGUCGCAGCCCUUCCGCGCAGCCGAACUCCGUUAGCAGCGACGAGGCCCCGCUGCAUCGUCCGAGUACACUACUCCGCUCUGCUACUCAGGCGCUACCUGCCUCUACAUCCGCUUUGCCGCGAGAUCGGCAGCGCAGAACCCUACCAUGGUCGUAGUCCACAACGGGCCGAGAUAGCUUUUCUCGAAAAUGAUGCCACUGUGAAGCGAAUGCGGCACGCGCGCCUCGACCUCCUUUUUCGCUGCCUUCUUCCAAAAACUUUGAUGCCUUCAUGACGCCAGCCACCUCACCGUUGUAUCAGCGUCCGGUGCUCACCCUGCGAGGAGGCCAACAGCCUGCAGCCUACCCCUUGGACACGGCUGCGGACUCUCGGUGUCGGAGAGGAGGUCUGCGCGGGUGAUGUGCCGAAGGCACUUGCAGCCAUGAUCAAGCUUGUGCCAGCCCGCCACGCAUCUUGCCGACAAUUCAGCAGACCGACGCAUCCGCCUCCAGCUUCUCUGCUUUAGCUGCGUUGCGGUGAUGUUGAGCGUAAUCCUGGGCCGAGCCUGCGCUUUAUGCACAGCGGAGUUGCGAUGGGUUGAGCGAUGCCAGACGGUGUUGGUUGACCCGCCUCCUCGUCGAAUCUACGAUACAAGUCUGCACUCCGCAAGAGACGCAUUCCACCACCACAGGCCCGUAGGGCAUGCGGCCUCCCGAGCUUUCAGCGGUCUCGUGUGGAAAGAGAAGCACGGCUGUGGCGUCUCCGCGCUCAUACAGGAGGACAUACGUAGAGGUGUAGGCCCCCCUCCCUUGUUCUCCAGGACGAGGUUGCAGCGGCUACGGCCUGGCUUUGCUGCGACGACCCUACCCGGCGGAUGCACUUCACGCCGGGCUACACACCUGAGAGUGACGCUGGUGGCACGGGAAGCUCUCGAUCAGACAUCAAGCGGCGUUGCACCCACUCCUCAGGCUAUGGGAACAGACACCAACUCGCGCCGCCGGGGUGUGCGGCGGGAAACGGCGGCUCAACCGGGCUGGAACCCUCCGUCCUCGCCCCCGCGCGAUGGGCCCGAGGGCAAACACCUGGCGCCCGCGAGCGGUGGGGGAGGGCAUGCGGCGGACGUAUCUGGGCACAAGUGCUGGCGCUGCCGGCCCGUCGCGUGCGCCUCUCAUUUCAGUCUGCCGGUGGCCAUUGCGGAUGGGCGCACCACGGCGAGGUUGGCAGGCUUGCCGGAUCGGCAGUGGCAGAGGAGCCGGCGCCGACUGCGUGGAUCACGCGCCUGGUCGCCGGCCUCAGACGCCAGGCCGACAUCGCCCGAAACCGCGAUACACGAUGCGGCACGCUGAGACAAGAGGUGCUUGGCGGCAGCCGUCCCACACCAGAGGAGCAGGGAUGCUGAGCUCACGGUACGACGGGCGGCCAUCCUCGCACAGGUCCGCGCGGGCACCCCGUCCAUGCACUGGGGAUCGCUGCAGCGGCGGGCGCCUGGCAGCGACGAGGCGGAGCGCGGAUGGCGUGCUGCCCGCUGCUCCGCUGGUGUUGCGGCGCCCCCCGCCCCCGCCAGAGCCUCCACCCCCGCCGGUGCUGGCCAUGAGGGCGUCCGGCCCGGCGUGGUGCCCGGUAUGCUGCGCGAGAUUCGCGGAUCGCCCGACGCUCGAAGCACACCUCGCCUUACGCGGUGAGCGUGCACGUCACCCCGGCACGUCCCCGUGGCAGCGACGGGGACGGAGAAGACGAAGAGAGCGAGUCCGUUCCCCUCCCCAGGCAACAGCGCCGUCCUGAAGCAGGCCCCGUGGCCCGAAUAUGCGAGCGCUGUGCGCACGCGCUGCCCACCGUUGCUGGCUUGGUGCGCCACAUCGAAAGAAAGAGUGCAGAGGUGAGAGAGCAAGAGUGAUGGACGGAAGGGGCGCGAAGAAGUCCCAUAGCAGUGAGCCCCACAGCGCAUGUGUGCAUAGCAUGCGGCAUCUUCGGCAUCUGUCCAGGGCUGCACUGAUGAGGCACAGAUGCCGGAAGCAUCACGAGAGCAGCCCGAGCUGCACCAUCCGGGCCCUCCCGACUCCCCAUGCGGAGGGUCUCCAUAUUAUGGGAUGCCGCGGCGUGAAGCGACCGAGGGCGAAGCAUGGCACGCAGGCAGGGGGUGCGCAGGGCCACCGAGGGCCCUGACCUGAGGCUGGCCAACGUCCUCCUCGAGCUCAUCCGGCAUGUCACCUUGACCACUCCCCUAUUACCCGCACGACAGACGCCACCGCCUCCGCCCUCGAGCAGGAGCAUGGGCGCGGCCCGCGUUGGAUCAGGCCAUGCAGCUCACCCAUGUCCGUGGGACGCCCGAUGCGAAGGCAGGCGGCUCGUCCUAGACGCCCAGGAUGCAGCUGUAACCCCCCCCCUACAGAGACGGGUGAGCUGUGGUUGUAUGCGUCUAUUUUUGUCACUUGCUCGCGGCAGAAUGGCACUGUGAAAUCGAAACCAAUGUGCUACAUUCAAUGUUUUGUGUUUUCAGUGACGGGCUGUACCUCCCCGUGUGUGAUCUGGGUCCGAGCGCCCCCACUCUGC
This 5346-nucleotide unclassified non-coding RNA is filed under the name Leishmania donovani. RNAcentral describes it as "gene:LdHU3.35.4770(CDS-product:membrane_transport er_protein_putative)". The record is from RNAcentral. Lineage: Eukaryota; Euglenozoa; Kinetoplastea; Trypanosomatida; Trypanosomatidae.